GAUGAAGAACGUAGCGAAAUGCGAUAAGUAGUGUGAAUUGCAGAAUUCAGUGAAUCAUCGAAUCUUUGAACGCACAUUGCGCCCCUUGGUAUUCCAUGGGGCAUGCCUGUUCGAGCGUCAUUUGUACCCUCAAGCUAUGCUUGGUAUUGGGCGAUUUUGUCCGGCUCCCACGCCUGGACUCGCCUCAAAGCGAUUGGCAGCCGGCGUUUUUGAUGGCAGUGGAGCGCAGCACAUUUUGCGCUCCGGAUGCCCCCGUAAAGAAAACGACGGCGUUCCAUGAAGCCAUGUUUCUCACGUUUGACCUCGGAUCAGGCAGGGAUACCCGCUGAACUUAAGCAUAUCAAUAAGCGGAGGA
RNAcentral lists this unclassified non-coding RNA (355 nucleotides) under soil metagenome. RNAcentral's name for it is "partial contains 5.8S ribosomal RNA, internal transcribed spacer 2, and large subunit ribosomal RNA". The stretch from base 1 to 120 matches the Rfam family "5.8S ribosomal RNA", at positions 35 to 154 of the family's 154-position model. The record is from RNAcentral.